AGUGAACGCUGGCGGUAGGCCUAACACAUGCAAGUCGAACGGCAGCACAGUAAGAGCUUGCUCUUACGGGUGGCGAGUGGCGGACGGGUGAGGAAUACAUCGGAAUCUACUUUUUCGUGGGGGAUAACGUAUGGAAACUUACGCUAAUACCGCAUACGACCUACGGGUUAAAGCAGGGGAUCUUCGGACCUUGCGCGAUUGAAUGAGCCGAUGUCUGAUUUGCUAGUUGGCGGGGUAAAGGCCCACCAAGGCGACGAUCGGAAGCUGGUCUGAGGGGAUGAACGGCCACGGUGGAGCUGGAAGACGACCCUGCGUCUGAGGGACGGCAGAGGUGGGGAAGAUUGGAAGACGGGGGGAAGCUUGAUCCAGCCGUACCGGGUGGGUGAAGAAGGCCUUCGGGUUGUAAAGCCCUUUUGUUGGGAAAAAAAAGCAGCAGGUUAAUACCCGGCUGUUCUGACGGUACCCAAAGAAUAAGCACCGGCUAACUUCGUG
RNAcentral lists this ribosomal RNA (492 nucleotides) under uncultured bacterium. Its description in RNAcentral is "partial 16S ribosomal RNA". It matches the Rfam family "Bacterial small subunit ribosomal RNA", at positions 29 to 507 of the family's 1533-position model. The record is from RNAcentral.